This 497-nucleotide ribosomal RNA is filed under the name uncultured bacterium. RNAcentral's name for it is "partial 16S ribosomal RNA". It matches the Rfam family "Bacterial small subunit ribosomal RNA", at positions 28 to 507 of the family's 1533-position model. The record is from RNAcentral.
GAUGAACGCUGGCGGCGUGCCUAAUACAUGCAAGUCGAGCGAACAGACGAGGAGCUUGCUCCUUCGACGUUAGCGGCGGGCGGGUGAGUAACACGUAGGUAACCUACCUAUAAGACUGGGAUAACUUCGGGAAACCGGAGCUAAUACCGGAUAAUAUUUCGAACCGCAUGGUUCGAUAGUGAAAGAUGGCUUUGCUAUCACUUAUAGAUGGACCUGCGCCGUAUUAGCUAGUUGGUAAGGUAACGGCUUACCAAGGCAACGAUACGUAGCCGACCUGAGAGGGUGAUCGGCCACACUGGAACUGAGACACGGUCCAGACUCCUACGGGAGGCAGCAGUAGGGAAUCUUCCGCAAUGGGCGAAAGCCUGACGGAGCAACGCCGCGUGAGUGACGAAGGUCUUCGGAUCGUAAAACUCUGUUAUUAGGGAAGAACAAACGUGUAAGUAACUGUGCACGUCUUGACGGUACCUAAUCAGAAAGCCACGGCUAACUACGUG